AUUGAACGAUGGCGGCAGGCCUAACACAUGCAAGUCGAACGGUAACAGGAAGCAGCUUGCUGCUUUGCUGACGAGUGGCGGACGGGUGAGUAAUGUCUGGGAAACUGCCCGAUGGAGGGGGAUAACUACUGGAAACGGUAGCUAAUACCGCAUAACGUCGCAAGACCAAAGAGGGGGACCUUAGGGCCUCUUGCCAUCGGAUGUGCCCAGAUGGGAUUAGCUAGUAGGUGGGGUAACGGCUCACCUAGGCGACGAUCCCUAGCUGGUCUGAGAGGAUGACCAGCCACACUGGAACUGAGACACGGUCCAGACUCCUACGGGAGGCAGCAGUGGGGAAUAUUGCACAGUGGGCGCAAGCCUGAUGCAGCCAUGCCGCGUGUAUGAAGAAGGCCUUCGGGUUGUAAAGUACUUUCAGCGGGGAGGAAGGGAGUAAAGUUAAUACCUUUGCUCAUUGACGUUACCCGCAGAAGAAGCACCGGCUAACUCCGUG
RNAcentral lists this ribosomal RNA (490 nucleotides) under uncultured bacterium. Its description in RNAcentral is "partial 16S ribosomal RNA". It matches the Rfam family "Bacterial small subunit ribosomal RNA", at positions 30 to 507 of the family's 1533-position model. The record is from RNAcentral.